This 386-nucleotide long non-coding RNA is filed under the name Trifolium pratense (red clover). RNAcentral describes it as "long non-coding RNA (TPRA_LNC012574)". The record is from RNAcentral. Lineage: Eukaryota; Viridiplantae; Streptophyta; Magnoliopsida; Fabales; Fabaceae.
GGUUUACUAUCUGUUAAAUUUCUUUUUGAGAUUUCUACUGUUUAUUGCCUUGAUGUCAUCUUUAAUAAUUCUUUUAAGAUGCAUCUGAAGUUGCAGAGGACAUUAAGGUUUUAACUUGGGAAUGGAGUGCUCAUAAAUUGAAGGUCGCCCCGUGUUUAUAUUACGAAUGGACUUGGAACCCGGGUAUUUGUUUUGAGCGCUGAUGAGCUCUGCUGAUUUUUUAGCUGCCUUGACAGUCUUGUGGUUUUUUUGCUAUCAGAAGAGACUGACUUUUGCUGCUACUGGUUUUUCUCUCUUUCUGUUUGGUGUGUUUUGUGGGAGUGGACUUGGUUUUAUUGUUUUGUGUUUCAAUUCUUGUUGGUUCCUAUCAUUUUAUCUUGUUUUUC